CCGGGUGUGGCCCAGUUGGUAGGGCGCCUGUUUUGGGAACAGGGGGCCGGGAGUUCGAGUCUCUCCACUCGGACCA
This 76-nucleotide transfer RNA is filed under the name Candidatus Faecinaster equi. RNAcentral's name for it is "tRNA-Pro". It matches the Rfam family "tRNA". From Rfam's summary of the family: Transfer RNA (tRNA) molecules are approximately 80 nucleotides in length. Their secondary structure includes four short double-helical elements and three loops (D, anti-codon, and T loops). Further hydrogen bonds mediate the characteristic L-shaped molecular structure. tRNAs have two regions of fundamental functional importance: the anti-codon, which is responsible for specific mRNA codon recognition, and the 3' end, to which the tRNAs corresponding amino acid is attached (by aminoacyl-tRNA synthetases). tRNAs cope with the degeneracy of the genetic code in two manners: having more than one tRNA (with a specific anti-codon) for a particular amino acid; and 'wobble' base-pairing, i.e. permitting non-standard base-pairing at the 3rd anti-codon position. The record is from RNAcentral. Lineage: Bacteria; Pseudomonadati; Bacteroidota; Bacteroidia; Bacteroidales; Bacteroidaceae.